GAAGAGGUGGGAUCGAAAUCCAACAAGUAAUUGGAAUGAGCGGCAGAAGCUGAGUGAGAUGAAAUGCGUAGCGCCAGUGCCAGUUGCAACUGAUAGCUCUCCUCUGUUUGUUUAGCCCAGCUCUUGAAAGAACCUUCUUCUUUUUCUACUUCUUCAUUCACUUCUUCGUUGUGCAUCCUCGUCCUCUCAGAUUCAGAUUCACGUUCACGGUGACCACAGCCGUACAUUUCCUAUCGCAGUCUUCACUAACUUCUACGCAUACACCCAACUUUCCUCUUCAGACUACUGCUUCCUUUCUCUUUAUCCCUUUCAUUUUUCCUUUUUUUUUUUUUUGCCAAACGUAUGGGUCCGCUUCUUAUUAAAAGAAAUGAUUUUUUUUAUAAUUUCUUGGCGUCAUGUGAAGUUUCAC
RNAcentral lists this long non-coding RNA (409 nucleotides) under Cicer arietinum (chickpea). Its description in RNAcentral is "long non-coding RNA (CARI_LNC001162)". Lineage: Eukaryota; Viridiplantae; Streptophyta; Magnoliopsida; Fabales; Fabaceae. The record is from RNAcentral.